GACGUAGGUGGCAAGCGUUGUUCGGAAUCACUGGGCAUAAAGCGCACGUAGGCGGCCAAGUAAGUCAGGUGUGAAAUACCUCGCCUCAACCGAGGAACUGCGCCUGAUACUGCUUGGCUUGAGGUCCGGAGGGGAGAGUGGAAUUCCCGGUGGAGCGGUGAAAUGCGUAGAGAUCGGGAAGAACGCCGGCGGCGAAAGCGACUCUCUGGUCGGAAUCUGACGCUGAGGUGCGAAAGCUAGGGGAGCAAACGGG
RNAcentral lists this ribosomal RNA (253 nucleotides) under uncultured bacterium. RNAcentral's name for it is "partial 16S ribosomal RNA". It matches the Rfam family "Bacterial small subunit ribosomal RNA", at positions 524 to 776 of the family's 1533-position model. The record is from RNAcentral.